GACGUAGGGGGCAAGCGUUGUUCGGAAUUAUUGGGCGUAAAGCGCGCGCAGGCGGUCUUCCAAGUCAGUGGUGAAAGCCCGGAGCUCAACUCCGGAACUGCCAUUGAAACUGUGAGACUUGAGGAUGAGAGAGGUGAGUGGAAUUCCCAGUGUAGAGGUGAAAUUCGUAGAUAUUGGGAAGAACACCGGUGGCGAAGGCGGCUCACUGGCUCAUUUCUGACGCUCAGGCGCGACAGCGUGGGGAUCAAACGGG
This 253-nucleotide ribosomal RNA is filed under the name uncultured bacterium. RNAcentral describes it as "partial 16S ribosomal RNA". It matches the Rfam family "Bacterial small subunit ribosomal RNA", at positions 524 to 776 of the family's 1533-position model. The record is from RNAcentral.